Molecule: long non-coding RNA, 250 nt
Filed under: Bos taurus (domestic cattle)
Lineage: Eukaryota; Metazoa; Chordata; Mammalia; Artiodactyla; Bovidae
Description: long non-coding RNA NONBTAT025920
Source: RNAcentral
UCGGGCAUGCUGAGAUUUUCCAGGAUGCCAUGAAGCCAGGGACGGAUAGCCUUCAGGGAGCGCAGUUUCUUCUGGGGUUUAGCACAGGCCAGGCCUUGGCUGGAAAUAGGGAAAGGUCACAGGGGACAGAAUGACUCAGAAGAUAAUGGAGCUUUGAAGUCUAGCAGAAUAUGAAGUCUUUCCUCUUCUGGUUUAAAUUUAAAAGGAGCUGGUAGACAGAUAAGCUGACAGCAGGUCUCCACCACUGCCG